GGCGUCUAACGAGAACGGGUCUGACGGUCAGGAACGAAAGCUAGGGGAGCAAACCGGAUUAGAUACCCGAGUAGUCCUAGCCGUAAACGCUGUGUACUAGAUGUUACGUAUUCCACGUCGAUAUGUAGUGUCGGAGCGAAGGCAUUAAGUACACCGCCUGGGAAGUACGGUCGCAAGGCUGAAACUUAAAGGAAUUGGCGGGAGAGCACCACAAGGGGUGCGGCGUGCGGUUUAAUCUAACUUCACGCAGAGAAUCUCACCAGCAGCGACGGCAGAAUGAAGGUCAGAUUAAAUGUUUUACCUGACGAGCCGAGAGGUAGUGCAUGGCCGUCGUCAGCUCGUGCCGUAAGGUGUCCUCUUAAGUGAGGUAACGAGCGAGACCCAUACCCAUAAUUGCUAGCAGGUGCUUUAGCACGACUGAGCACGUUAUGGGGACUGCUGUGGAAACACAGAGGAAGGUGUGGGCUACGGUAGGUCUGUAUGCUCCGAAUCUGCUGGGCUACACGCGCGCAACAAUGGCGAGGACAAUGGGAUGCCACACCGAAAGGUGAAGCUAAACCUUUAAACCUCGUCCAAGUCUAGAUUGAGGAUUGUAAUUCAUCCUCAUGACAACGGAAUCCCUAGUAAUCGGGUUUCAUCACGACCCGGUGAAUAUGUCCCUGCUCCUUGCACACACCGCCCGUCAAACCAACCGAGUUGGGUCUGGGUGAGAUGCAGCUUUUAGUUGUAUCAAAUCCAGGUUCGGUGAGGUGGGUUAAGUCGUCACAAGGUAGCCGUAGGGGAACCUACGGCUG
Molecule: ribosomal RNA, 794 nt
Filed under: marine metagenome
Description: bacterial SSU rRNA
Rfam family: Archaeal small subunit ribosomal RNA
Source: RNAcentral